Molecule: ribosomal RNA, 443 nt
Filed under: uncultured bacterium
Lineage: Bacteria
Description: partial 16S ribosomal RNA
Rfam family: Bacterial small subunit ribosomal RNA
Source: RNAcentral
CCUACGGGUGGCAGCAGUGGGGAAUAUUGGACAAUGGGGGGAACCCUGAUCCAGCGACGCCGCGUGAGUGAAGAAGUAUUUCGGUAUGUAAAGCUCUAUCAGCAGGGAAGAAAGAAAUGACGGUACCUGACUAAGAAGCCCCGGCUAACUACGUGCCAGCAGCCGCGGUAAUACGUAGGGGGCAAGCGUUAUCCGGAUUUACUGGGUGUAAAGGGAGCGUAGACGGCGAUGCAAGUCUGAAGUGAAAGGCGGGGGCUCAACCCCCGGACUGCUUUGGAAACUGUAUGGCUGGAGUGCAGGAGAGGUAAGUGGAAUUCCUAGUGUAGCGGUGAAAUGCGUAGAUAUUAGGAGGAACACCAGUGGCGAAGGCGGCUUACUGGACUGUAACUGACGUUGAGGCUCGAAAGCGUGGGGAGCAAACAGGAUUAGAUACCCCAGUAGUC